AGCAGCCGCGGUAAUUCCAGCUCCAAUAGCGUAUAUUAAAGUUGUUGCAGUUAAAAAGCUCGUAGUUGAAUUUCGGGAUCAGUACGCUGGUCGUGCCUUGGUAUGUACUGGUGUUACCGGUUCCUACCUUCUGACGAACCGUCAUGUCAUUAAUUUGGUGUGGCGGGAAAUCAGGACUGUUACUUUGAAAAAAUUAGAGUGUUUAAAGCAGGCUCACGCUUGAAUACAUUAGCAUGGAAUAACGAAAUAGGACGUUUGAUUCUAUUUUGUUGGUUUCUAGGAUCGACGUAAUGAUUAAUAGGGAUAGUUGGGGGCAUUAGUAUUCAAUUGUCAGAGGUGAAAUUCUUGGAUUUAUUGAAGACUAACUACUGCGAAAGCAUUUGCCAAGGAUGUUUCAUUAAUCAAGAACGAAAGUUAGGGAUCGAAGACGAUCAGAUACCGUCGUAGUCUUAACCAUAAACUAUGCCGACUAGGGAUCGGAUGAUGUUUAAUUUUUAAUGUACUCUAUUCGGCGUCCGUUAACGGGAACCUAGG
Molecule: ribosomal RNA, 534 nt
Filed under: uncultured Glomus
Lineage: Eukaryota; Fungi; Glomeromycota; Glomeromycetes; Glomerales; Glomeraceae
Description: SSU rRNA
Rfam family: Eukaryotic small subunit ribosomal RNA
Source: RNAcentral